AAAAAAUGUUUUAACAAAACAAGCCUCGCGCCGACAUCGUCGUUUGCCCAAAGCGAACGAUGACGAAGCGCAACGUUGGCCCACAUUUUUGUGCACCGUUCCGUCUUUGGUGGUGGGGUGAGCGGCUUCCUUUGGCGGCCCUCGCCUGUCAGCUCGGACCCUGCAACGGGUCCGGAGCCGUGGACAAGCCACCGCCCUUUUCUUCAAAACCUUUGCUUUGCUUUUUUUUUUCUGUCUGACACUUUUAUUUUGUAUGAAUGUACAAA
This 266-nucleotide unclassified non-coding RNA is filed under the name soil metagenome. RNAcentral's name for it is "partial internal transcribed spacer 1". The record is from RNAcentral.